Molecule: ribosomal RNA, 455 nt
Filed under: uncultured bacterium
Lineage: Bacteria
Description: bacterial SSU rRNA
Rfam family: Bacterial small subunit ribosomal RNA
Source: RNAcentral
UACGGAAGGCAGCAGUGGGGAAUAUUGCACAAUGGGCGCAAGCCUGAUGCAGCCAUGCCGCGUGUAUGAAGAAGGCCUUCGGGUUGUAAAGUACUUUCAGUCGUGAGGAAGGUGUUAAGGUUAAUAACCUUAGCAAUUGACGUUAGCGACAGAAGAAGCACCGGCUAACUCCGUGCCAGCAGCCGCGGUAAUACGGAGGGUGCGAGCGUUAAUCGGAAUUACUGGGCGUAAAGGGCACGCAGGCGGUUAAUUAAGUUGGAUGUGAAAUCCCCGGGCUUAACCUGGGAAGGGCAUUCAAGACUGGUUAGCUAGAGUCUUGUAGAGGGGGUAGAAUUCCAUGUGUAGCGGUGAAAUGCGUAGAGAUGUGGAGGAAUACCGGUGGCGAAGGCGGCCCCUGGACAAAGACUGACGCUCAUGUGCGAAAGCUGGGGAGCAAACAGGGAUUAGAUACCCGU